UUACCGUUCACAGAAGCAGAGCGUCAGUUUUGAAAGAGUGAGGUACCACAGCAUGUGCUCACUGGGAUUGGAUUCAUUUGAUGGGUCAGUCAAUACUUUCAAUUUUAAUGCACUUCAAUU
Molecule: long non-coding RNA, 120 nt
Organism: Megalobrama amblycephala (Wuchang bream)
Lineage: Eukaryota; Metazoa; Chordata; Actinopteri; Cypriniformes; Xenocyprididae
Exons: 2
Source: RefSeq, a predicted model, not a curated record